GUCGAGCGAGCAAUUUUGACGGAAUACUUCGGUAGGAAGUCAGAAGCGCGAGCGGCGGAUGGGUGAGUAACACGUGGGCAACCUGCCCUUUAGCUUGGGAUACCACUUGGAAACAGGUGCUAAUACCAAAUAAGCAGCACGAGCGCAUGCUCAAGCUGAGAAAGGCGGCUUUCGAGCUGUCACUAAAGGAUGGGCCCGCGGUGCAUUAGCUAGUUGGUAAGGUAACGGCUUACCAAGGCGAUGAUGCAUAGCCGAGUUGAGAGACUGACCGGCCACAUUGGGACUGAGACACGGCCCAAACUCCUACGGGAGGCAGCAGUAGGGAAUCUUCCACAAUGGACGCAAGUCUGAUGGAGCAACGCCGCGUGAGUGAAGAAGGUUUUCGGAUCGUAAAGCUCUGUUGUUGGUGAAGAAGGACAAGGGUAGUAACUGAUUCUUGUUUGACGGUAAUCAACCAGAAAGUCACGGCUAACUACGUGCCAGCAGCCGCGGUAAUACGUAGGUGGCAAGCGUUGUCCGGAUUUAUUGGGCGUAAAGCGAACGCAGGCGGGAGAAUAAGUCAGCUGUGAAAGCCCCCAGCUUAACUGGGGAAGUGCAACUGAAACUAUUUUUCUUGAGUACAGAAGAGGAGAGUGGAACUCCAUGUGUAGCGGUGGAAUGCGUAGAUAUAUGGAAGAACACCAGUGGCGAAGGCGGCUCUCUGGUCUGUAACUGACGCUGAGGUUCGAAAGCAUGGGUAGCGAACAGGAU
This 750-nucleotide ribosomal RNA is filed under the name Lactobacillus sp. B3. Its description in RNAcentral is "bacterial SSU rRNA". It matches the Rfam family "Bacterial small subunit ribosomal RNA", at positions 61 to 778 of the family's 1533-position model. The record is from RNAcentral. Lineage: Bacteria; Bacillati; Bacillota; Bacilli; Lactobacillales; Lactobacillaceae.